This 78-nucleotide transfer RNA is filed under the name Marmota monax (woodchuck). RNAcentral's name for it is "tRNA.Gly". Lineage: Eukaryota; Metazoa; Chordata; Mammalia; Rodentia; Sciuridae. The record is from RNAcentral.
GGGGAGAUAGCUUAGUUGGUAGAGUGCUUACUUCCCAUGUUAAAGGCCCUGGAUUCAACCCCCAGCACCAUCUCAUCA